AGCGUAGACGGAUGGACAAGUCUGAUGUGAAAGGCUGGGGCUCAACCCCGGGGACUGCAUUGGAAACUGCCCGUCUUGAGUGCCGGAGAGGUAAGCGGAAUUCCUAGUGUAGCGGUGAAAUGCGUAGAUAUUAGGAGGAACACCAGUGGCGAAGGCGGCUUACUGGACGGUAACUGACGUUGAGGCUCGAAAGCGUGGGGGGCAAACA
RNAcentral lists this ribosomal RNA (208 nucleotides) under uncultured bacterium. RNAcentral's name for it is "partial 16S ribosomal RNA". It matches the Rfam family "Bacterial small subunit ribosomal RNA", at positions 568 to 774 of the family's 1533-position model. The record is from RNAcentral.